CCAGUGGUGGUUUAGUGGUAGAAUUCUCACCUUCCAUGCCAGAGACCUGGGUUCAAUUCCUGCCCAAUGUA
This 71-nucleotide transfer RNA is filed under the name Loxodonta africana (African savanna elephant). It matches the Rfam family "tRNA". From Rfam's summary of the family: Transfer RNA (tRNA) molecules are approximately 80 nucleotides in length. Lineage: Eukaryota; Metazoa; Chordata; Mammalia; Proboscidea; Elephantidae. The record is from Rfam by way of RNAcentral.